Molecule: long non-coding RNA, 362 nt
Filed under: Gossypium barbadense (sea-island cotton)
Lineage: Eukaryota; Viridiplantae; Streptophyta; Magnoliopsida; Malvales; Malvaceae
Description: long non-coding RNA (GBAR_LNC015494)
Source: RNAcentral
GAAUGUAUCGGAUACAAAUGUCAUGACAUUAGGGGAUGAGAUCCCAUGUAAAACCAUGUCUGGGACAUGGAAUUGGCAUUAUUGAAGUUAUGAGAGGCCUCACGUAAGACCAUGUCUGGGACAUGGCAUUGGCACCGAGAUGAGAGGUCCCCCGUUAGACCAUGUCUGGGACAUGGCAUGGGCACCGAUAUGAGAACUCUCAUGUAAGACCAUAUCUGGGAUAUGGCAUUUGUAGUACAUGAAACAUCCCAUGUAUGACCAUGUUUGGAACAUGGCUUUGGCAUGUUAUUAUGAGACAGGAUACCCGAGUAUCCUUAGUAUUCCAUGUGGUUCAACGGACUAGUAAGUAGACUAUGUUACAU